Molecule: transfer RNA, 25 nt
Filed under: Malacopteron affine
Lineage: Eukaryota; Metazoa; Chordata; Aves; Passeriformes; Timaliidae
Description: partial tRNA-Thr
Source: RNAcentral
CCCACUCUAAUAGUUUAUAAAAACA